CAUAGAUGUUGAGAGUAGAAUAGUGGUAACUAGAAGAGUGGGGGAAAGGAGGAAUAGAGAAAGGUGGGUUAAUAAAUACAAAAUUACAGCUAGAUAUGAGGGAAUAAGUUCUAGUGUUCCAUAGAACUAUAGGGUAACUAUAGUUCAGGGGAUCAGGGCAGAGCAUCAGAAGAUGAGAAGGGCCGGUGGGAGUUAACAACUAACUCCAUAUUUUCAAAGCGCUAGAAGAGAGGAUUUUAAAUGUCCACAGCACAAAAAAAUGAUAAUUAUUUGAGGUGGUGGAUAUGCUCAUUACCAGAAUUUGAUCAUCAUACAUUGUAUACAGGUAUUGAAAUAUCACGUUGUAACCCACAAAUAUGUACAAUUACUACGUGUUAAUUAAAAAUUUAAAAAGCAUAUGGAGAGUGUUUCUUAUGUAAGACCUAUGGAGAGUGUUUCUUAUGUAAGAUCAAACAGACCAUCAUCCCAAAUGGAUUACAUGUGGUACUAGAUAGCUUGAUACAGAAGGUAAUUCCUUUCCAGGAGAGUUGAGGGAGUCAGUCACUGGGGGUGGAAGUGGAGGAGGGAGAGAUCAGGGCAAAAAAAAAAAAAAAAAAAAAAAAAAAAGAGAGGAGGAAGUGGGCAGUUAAUAAAGGAGAGAAGAAGGG
Molecule: long non-coding RNA, 647 nt
Filed under: Homo sapiens (human)
Lineage: Eukaryota; Metazoa; Chordata; Mammalia; Primates; Hominidae
Description: HSALNT0227514
Source: RNAcentral